This 158-nucleotide ribosomal RNA is filed under the name fungal endophyte MUT 585. RNAcentral describes it as "5.8S ribosomal RNA". It matches the Rfam family "5.8S ribosomal RNA". Rfam says of the family: 5.8S ribosomal RNA (5.8S rRNA) is a component of the large subunit of the eukaryotic ribosome. It is transcribed by RNA polymerase I as part of the 45S precursor that also contains 18S and 28S rRNA. Lineage: Eukaryota; Fungi; Ascomycota. RNAcentral also lists the same sequence under 4 other names. The record is from RNAcentral.
AAAACUUUCAACAAUGGAUCUCUUGGUUCUGGCAUCGAUGAAGAACGCAGCGAAAUGCGAUAAGUAGUGUGAAUUGCAGAAUUCAGUGAAUCAUCGAAUCUUUGAACGCACAUUGCGCCCCUUGGUAUUCCAUGGGGCAUGCCUGUUCGAGCGUCAUU